This 2421-nucleotide ribosomal RNA is filed under the name human gut metagenome. RNAcentral describes it as "bacterial LSU rRNA". It matches the Rfam family "Bacterial large subunit ribosomal RNA", at positions 1 to 2449 of the family's 2925-position model. The record is from RNAcentral.
GUAAAUAAUUAAGGGCGUAUGGUGGAUGCCUAGGCUCUCAGAGGCGAAGAAGGACGUGAUAAGCUGCGAAAAGCUCCGUUUAGGUGCAAAUAACCUUUGAUGCGGAGAUCUCCGAAUGGGAUAACCCAAUAUGUUGAAGACAUAUUAUACCGUAAGGUAGGCAAACGCAGGGAACUGAAACAUCUAAGUACCUGCAGGAGAAGAAAACAAACGUGAUUCCCCCAGUAGCGGCGAGCGACCGGGGAUAAGCCCAAACCGUUAUUGUUUCGGCAGUAGCGGGGUAGUAGGACUGCAAGCUUGAUGAAAUAAAUGAAAUGGAACACCUUGGAAAAUGUGAUCACAGAGGGUGAUAAUCCCGUACAUGCAAGUUUAUGAAUCAUAGCAGACUCCUGAGUAAGUCGGGACACGUGUAAUCCUGACCGAAUCCGCCGGGACCAUCCGGCAAGGCUAAAUACUCCUGAGAGACCGAUAGUGAACCAGUACCGUGAGGGAAAGGUGAAAAGCACUUCGAACAGAAGAGUGAAAUAGUCCCUGAACCCAUACGCCUACAAGCUGUCGGAGCCGCUUCGUGCGGUGACGGCGUGCCUUUUGCAUAAUGAGCCUACGAGUUACUCAUCACCAGCGAGGUUAAGUACUUCAGGUACGUAAGCCGAAGCGAAAGCGAGUCUGAAUAGGGCGUCAAGUUGGUGGUGGUAGACGCGAAACCUUAGUGAUCUACCCAUGGGCAGGGUGAAGGUUUGGUAACACAAACUGGAGGCCCGAACCGGUAAACGUUGAAAAGUUUUCGGAUGACCUGUGGGUAGGGGUGAAAGGCCAAUCAAACUGGGAAAUAGCUCGUACUCUCCGAAAUGCAUUUAGGUGCAGCCUCUGUUGUUUUGUUCUAGAGGUAGAGCUACUGAUUGGAUGCGAGGGCUUCACCGCCUAUCAAAUCCGGCCAAACUCCGAAUGCUAGAACAUGAAGACAGGGAGUGAGCCAGCGGGUGCUAAGGUCCGUUGACGAAAGAGGGAGAACUCAGACCAUCAGCUAAGGUCCCCAAUUGUAUGCUAAGUUGGAAUUAAAACGGGGUGGGACUGCUUAGACAGCUAGGAUGUUGGCUUGGAAGCAGCCAUUCAUUUAAAGAGUGCGUAACAGCUCACUAGUCGAGCGGUCCUGCAUGGAUAAUACGCGGGCAUAAGCAUAUAACCGAAGCUAUGGGAUUGUAGAUGAUACAAUCGGUAGGAGAGCAUUCCAUUCAGCAUAGAAGCAGUACCGUGAGGUAUUGUGGAGCGGAUGGAAAAGCAAAUGUAGGCAUAAGUAACGAUAAUGCGGGUGAGAACCCCGCACGCCGAAAGAUCAAGGAUUCCCCGGCAAUGUCAAUCAUCCGGGGGUAAGUCGGAUCCUAAGGGUAAGCCGAGUGGCGAUCCCGAUGGCAAACAGGUUAAUAUUCCUGUACUGAUCAUAACUGCGAUGCAGCGACGCAGAGGUGACACUGCUGCGUACUGACGGAAUAGUACGUUGAAACCCGUAUUCUUUGAUACCGGUAGUGAAGCACGCCGGUAGAGAUGAAAGGUGAUAGUACCGCAAUGCUUCGGUUGCGCGGAUAAUGCAGGUAAGCUGACUGCCAAGAAAACCUGCUAAGCUUCAGGUAAUGAUCAUCCGUACUGUAAACGGACACACGUGAUCAGGUAGAAAAUACUAAGGCGUCGAGAGAUUCAUGGUUAAGGAACUAGGCAAAAUGGUCCUGUAACUUCGGGAUAAAGGACGCUCUUGUGAAAGAGCCGCAGAUAAUAGGCCCAGGCGACUGUUUACCAAAAACACAUGGCUAUGCUAAUUCGCAAGAAGAUGUAUAUGGCCUGACACCUGCCCGGUGCCGGAAGGUUAAGAGGAGAGCUCAGAUGUAAGUCGAAGGUUUGAAUUGAAGCCCCGGUAAACGGCGGCCGUAACUAUAACGGUCCUAAGGUAGCGAAAUUCCUUGUCGGGUAAGUUCCGACCUGCACGAAUGGUGUAACGAUCUGGGUACUGUCUCAACCAUGAGCUCGGUGAAAUUGUAGUUCCGGUGAAGAUGCCGGAUACCCGCAACGGGACGGAAAGACCCCGUGAACCUUUACUGCAGCUUUGCAUUGAUUUUGGGUAACAGAUGUGUAGGAUAGGUCGGAGGCUUUGAUGCUGCGUCGUCAGGCGUAGAGUAGCCGUCGUUGAAAUACGACCCUUUUGUUAUCUGAGGUCUAAUCCCGUUAGGGAGACAUUGCAUGGUGGGUAGUUUGACUGGGGUGGUCGCCUCCAAAAGUGUAACGGAGGCUUCUCAAGGUACCCUCAAGGCGUUUGGUAAUCGUCUGCAGAGUGCAAUGGCAUAAGGGUGCUUGACUGUGAGACCGACACGUCGAUCAGGUUGGAAACAAGAGCAUAGUGAUCCGGUGGUUCCGCAUGGAAGGGCCAUCGCU